This 1080-nucleotide ribosomal RNA is filed under the name Triticum aestivum (bread wheat). RNAcentral describes it as "partial small subunit ribosomal RNA". The record is from RNAcentral. Lineage: Eukaryota; Viridiplantae; Streptophyta; Magnoliopsida; Poales; Poaceae.
AUGAAAUCAGGAGAAGCCACCAAGCUCGACCGCAUUCGUACCCCGGUACUGCACGUUGUUGAUGACCAGCGUGGGCAGGAUGGUGACGUCGCCUCGAUCCCCCUGCCCGACCUGCACGACCUGCUCCGUCCGGAGCACGUCGUUGUCGGCGUCGGCGUCGGGGUCGCCCAUGCACUUGUCGAUCAGCUCCGCCGGCAGGCCCAGCGACGCCACCACCUCCUCGGCGCACCCGCGGGAGUACCUCUUCUCCCGCAUGGAGCACCGCACGCGGUAGUCGGCCACGAAGUCCCACCACGCCCACGACGCGUUGCGGGCGUUGGCCACCCGGUGCACGCACAGCUGCCGGAGGUUCUCCAGCACCACGUCGCGGCCCCGGUAGCCGGCGCCCAGGUCCCCCUCCGGGUCCGGCGCGCAGUAGCGGCCGCGGUUGAUGCACUGCGACGCGCACUGCCGCGUGCCCCGGUACUCGUCGGGGCAGAACCACGUGAUGUAGUGCGGCGUGAAGAGCGCGUCGCCGGCCUUCUCCAGCAGCUGCGCGUGGCCCCGGAACGCCGCCACGAACGCCGCCUGCUCGUCGCACCGCGGCCCGCACUCGUCGUUGCUGUUGGUCCAGAACUCGUACUCCACCCGCGCGUCCGGGUUCGGCAUCGACUCGCGCCAGUCGAGGCGGACCACCACCUCGGCGCCGCCGGAGUCGGAGGCGGCGGCGCGGAGCGCGUCGCCGAAGGGCUUGGAGACGAGCGCGGAGGGGGCGGUGAUGUUGGCCAGGAAGGCCAUGUCGGGGGUCUCCUCCUCCGGGGUGUCCAUGGUCAGCAGCGGCUCCUCCACGCUAUCGGCCACCAGCACCGCCGCCGCGCCCGCCUGCUGCGCGUGCCACGUCUUGAGCGCGAAGUAGCAGCCGCCGCGGUCCACCAGGAGCACCACGGGCCGGCCGGACCGCGACUUGAACGCCGUCGCCCCGAACGGCUUGCACCCGUUGGCCUGCCCCGCGUCCGCCGGGUACAGCACCACGCCGGUCAGCGUGCCGCCGUAGUCGGGGACGCCGUAGUUGGCGAUGGCGGCCUCGUGGCGGCCCCGUAG